RNAcentral lists this long non-coding RNA (207 nucleotides) under Zea mays. RNAcentral's name for it is "long non-coding RNA NONZMAT000891". The record is from RNAcentral. Lineage: Eukaryota; Viridiplantae; Streptophyta; Magnoliopsida; Poales; Poaceae.
UAAGCAAGGGUCACGAUGCCGGUUCCUUGGACCCGUUUUCCUCUCUACAGCCGAACUCGAGCCACCAUCGCCAUUGCAGGGAGGACGACGCCAUGAGAGACCGAGCAUGUUGCACUCGAGUUCAUACCGUGGAGGAGGUUCGCAGGGGACCUCUGGAUCCGUCAGACUACGUCGCACGACGACGAGAAGUCUCUGCAUCUAUCGCUG